GGAGAGGUGGCAGAGUGGUCGAAUGCGGCGGUCUUGAAAACCGUUGAACUGAAAGGUUCCGGGGGUUCGAAUCCCUCCCUCUCCGCCA
This 88-nucleotide transfer RNA is filed under the name Pseudomonadales bacterium. RNAcentral's name for it is "tRNA-Ser". It matches the Rfam family "tRNA". From Rfam's summary of the family: Transfer RNA (tRNA) molecules are approximately 80 nucleotides in length. Their secondary structure includes four short double-helical elements and three loops (D, anti-codon, and T loops). Lineage: Bacteria; Pseudomonadati; Pseudomonadota; Gammaproteobacteria; Pseudomonadales. The record is from RNAcentral. RNAcentral also lists the same sequence under 11 other names.